RNAcentral lists this ribosomal RNA (305 nucleotides) under uncultured bacterium. Its description in RNAcentral is "bacterial SSU rRNA". It matches the Rfam family "Bacterial small subunit ribosomal RNA", at positions 336 to 641 of the family's 1533-position model. The record is from RNAcentral.
CGCCUACGGGACGCAGCAGUGGGGAAUAUUGCACAAUGGGGGAAACCCUGAUGCAGCGACGCCGCGUGAGUGAAGAAGUAUUUCGGUACGUAAAGCUCUAUCAGCAGGGAAGAAAUAAAGUCCUUCGGACUUUGGACGGUAUCUGACUAAGAAGCCCCGGCUAGCUACGUGCCAGCAGCCGCGGUAAUACGUAGGGGGCAAGCGUUAUCCGGAUUUACUGGGUGUAAAGGGAGCGUAGACGGCAGCGCAAGUCUGGAGGGAAAUGCCGGGGCCCAACCCCGGAACUGCUCUGGAAACUUUGAAGG